AAAUCAAUCUCUUCAUCUGUCAGCCCUGGGGGGAGAAGAGGACAUAAUUGCAGGUGAAUACCUUUUGCCACUGUCCCUGGAUGCAACGAAAUCUUCAUUGAGAAAAGACCCUGAGAGCCACAGAGUGCCUAGCAUCCUGAUUUCAGAUCCGACAAAUCAGGAUAUUCUGCUGGAUUUACCACCACGUAACAGCCAGGGAUGUGACUGCUCUCUCAGUUUCCAUUAUUGUUCUCCAACUGCGUACUCUUACGGUGGCAGCCAAGGUGAUCCUGUAAAAGCUUAAGUCAGACCAUUUAAGUCCUCUGCUUAAACCCUAUGAUGGUCUCCAUUUUAUUAAAAGAGUAAAACCAAAGUCUUCCUGUGUAUCAGUGCCGCUCUGCACAGCCUCACCUCCUACCAACGCUGUGUCUUCAGCUCUCACUGUGACCGGCCUUGCCCGCACUGUGGCCUCCUUUCUGUUCCUAGAAUUUGCCAGGCGAGCUCCCACUUCAGGCUUUCGUACAGUUGGUUCCCUUUUCCAGGAACUCUUUCUGCCCAGAAAUCUGCAUGGCUUGCUUCCUCCUUUUCUUCAAGUUUUUGCUUAAAUGUCACCUUGGUGGAGACUUUCCAGACCAUUCCAUUUAAAAUCAUAACCUUCUAAGAGCUCUCUAUUGCUCUUACUCCCCUUACAUUACGGUUACAUUUUCUUCCCCUAACGGUCUCCUUUCCUUCCCACCACUAGAAUGGAAGCUCCCUGAAGGCAGAGAUGGGGCCUAUUUCAUUCACUGCUAUAUUCGCAGGACCUAGAAUACUGCCUAGAUUCUAUGGGCAUUUACGCAGGUGUUCAACGAAACUGUGCAGAAGAAAUAUAUCAAUGGAAGUCCAAUAUGCAAAACAGCUGCUCAGGUUUGGGGAAAGCCAGCUGGCACAUGGAGCAAACCCAGAGUCCAACUUUCUUGACCGCUCUUUGCCCUUGAAACAUCUCUUUAGAAUCUCCAAGGAGUCCCAGAGGUGAAUGUAAAACUGUGUAUUCACCCUGCACUAUGGCAAACUAGUUUGUUCCCCAGUCGGACAGGCCUUGUACUCUUCAGUCCCCUCCCCUGAUGCUCCACGCACCGCACACUCCUUCCAAUCCUACUCCAGUCUUGUCCCUUGCCCUGGGUUCUCUCUUCCACCACCGGAGUCUCCUCUGGUCACCCCCCUGCCAGAUCACAUGUCUGCAGUGACUGCCAUCUAUACAGUAUUCCUCUGGUUGUCAAAUAUAGGUAGCUUUGUAACCUUCCUUUUGUCUUGGAUGGCUUUCUAAGGAGUCUAACAUUGUUGAACUUUGACUUUUACUGUCUUACUCACUGCUGUAUCCCCAAAGCUUAACAUAUGGAUCAAACUGUCAAGCGCAGUCACUGAACAGUUGUUCAGUGCGUCAGUAAACAUGAAUAAAGCCUACUGGUAUUUAA
Mustela lutreola (European mink) is the source of this 1433-nucleotide long non-coding RNA. RefSeq lists it as uncharacterized. The record is from RefSeq and is a predicted model, not a curated record. The transcript has 2 exons. NCBI's taxonomy places the organism in Eukaryota, Metazoa, Chordata, Mammalia, Carnivora, Mustelidae.